Molecule: ribosomal RNA, 253 nt
Filed under: uncultured bacterium
Lineage: Bacteria
Description: partial 16S ribosomal RNA
Rfam family: Bacterial small subunit ribosomal RNA
Source: RNAcentral
UACGGAGGGAGCUAGCGUUGUUCGGAAUUACUGGGCGUAAAGCGCACGUAGGCGGCGACUCAAGUCAGGGGUGAAAGCCCGGGGCUCAACCCCGGAACUGCCUUUGAAACUAGGUUGCUAGAAUCUUGGAGAGGUCAGUGGAAUUCCGAGUGUAGAGGUGAAAUUCGUAGAUAUUCGGAAGAACACCAGUGGCGAAGGCGACUGACUGGACAUGUAUUGACGCUGAGGUGCGAAAGCGUGGGGAGCAAACAGG